CCUACGGGGGGUUGCAGUGGGGAAUAUUGGACAAUGGGCGCAAGCCUGAUCCAGCAAUACCGCGUGUGUGAAGAAGGCCUGAGGGUUGUAAAGCACUUUUAAUCGGGAGGAAUAGCGGUCGGUUAAUACCCGGUCGUCUGACAUUACCGAUAGAAAAAGCACCGGCUAACUCCGUGCCAGCAGCCGCGGUAAUACGGAGCGUGCAAGUGUUAAUCGGAAUUAGUGGGCGUAAAGCGUUAGGACGCGUGUGAAAGCCCCGGGCUUAACCUGGGAACGGCAUUUGAAACUGAUCGACUGGAGUUGGGUAGAGGGGAGUGGAAUUUCAGGUGUAGCGGUGAAAUGCGUAGAUAUCUGAAGGAACACCAGUGGCGAAGGCGGCUCCCUGGACCCAAACUGACGCUGAGGCACGAAAGCGUGGGUAGCAAACAGGAUUAGAUACCCUGGUAGUC
Molecule: ribosomal RNA, 449 nt
Filed under: uncultured bacterium
Lineage: Bacteria
Description: partial 16S ribosomal RNA
Rfam family: Bacterial small subunit ribosomal RNA
Source: RNAcentral